Pocillopora verrucosa is the source of this 717-nucleotide non-coding RNA. Lineage: Eukaryota; Metazoa; Cnidaria; Anthozoa; Scleractinia; Pocilloporidae. The record is from RefSeq and is a predicted model, not a curated record.
GUCGUCCUAUUAGUUGUUGUUAUCUGCUGUAUGAUCAAACUCUACAACAUGGUAAAAAUCAUCCGACCAUCAGGGAAUGAAAGAGCUCGUGUGGAGUACGCCAGAGAGAAUCAGAGAGCCUUACCAGUAGAGAGGGAACCCACAGUUUCUUUUCCUCGAGUUGAGGAAAGCGCAAGACAACGUUUUACAUGUAACAAUACAACCUACGGCGGAUUACAAGCGAUACGACGACAGCCACAAAUGCAUGACGAACGUUUUAGGGGGCAACAGCUACAGUGUACCACUGAAGACGCCGUGGACUUGCCUGAGUAGGCUUACUAAGAUUUCCACAAAUUUUCCGCGUUCCUGUGGUGAACUGGCUUUCUCCAGGGAAAGUGAAUGACAUUGUGUCGAUGGACAACAGUGAUAUAUUUUUUUAAUAUGAAAAACGGCCUAUACUUUAUACUUAAUACUCAUGCAUAUACUUUACAAUUGAAACUGUGUUUAAAACGGCCGAUUUGAGAAAAAAAGUCUGUGUACAAAUAAAACUAGAUGGCCCUAAAAACAGUAACUAACUGCGUUGGUUUAUUUGUGUUUUCCUCUCGAGAUAAUGUAAUUUGUAUUGCUUGCGGUCAGACGCGCGACUUCACCCACAGGAUCGAAUUGAAUAAAACUAUGACACCAUACUUGUUCCUCCGGCACUUGAUCUUGGCUCUAUGCUUGAAAAUAAAGAACAAU